Long non-coding RNA from Podiceps cristatus (great crested grebe), 197 nucleotides. It matches the Rfam family "HOXA11 antisense RNA 1 conserved region 2". The record is from Rfam. NCBI's taxonomy places the organism in Eukaryota, Metazoa, Chordata, Aves, Podicipediformes, Podicipedidae.
GAAUGUGCCAGGGUCAAGUCUGUACUGAUUUUCAUGGUGAAUAGAUUACAUGCUUGCAUUCAUGUUCACUUCCGAAGCGCUUAGUGUCUUCCUUCCCUUACUUACAUAUUAACCUCAAAUACCCCGAGCGGCUUCAGUGCUGGAGGUAGUUAACAAUGUGGGGUUCCCAGGAUGCAGGUUCUCCACCCUCGCCCCCU